Hyaena hyaena (striped hyena) is the source of this 130-nucleotide small nucleolar RNA. RefSeq annotates it as small nucleolar RNA SNORA64/SNORA10 family. The transcript has a single exon. The record is from RefSeq and is a predicted model, not a curated record. NCBI's taxonomy places the organism in Eukaryota, Metazoa, Chordata, Mammalia, Carnivora, Hyaenidae.
CCUCUCUCAGCUCUGAUUAAUCAUACUUAGUGUGUGGUUGGCAUAUUUUUAGACAGAGAGAGAGGAAGGCCCUUCUAAUGAAUGACGGACGGCCCCAAGUGGCCUUUCUGUUCCUCAGGGUGCAACAGUU